UAGGGAAUCUUCGGCAAUGGGGGCAACCCUGACCGAGCAACGCCGCGUGAGUGAAGAAGGUUUUCGGAUCGUAAAGCUCUGUUGUAAGAGAAGAACGUGUGUGAGAGUGGAAAGUUCACACAGUGACGGUAACUUACCAGAAAGGGACGGCUAACUACGUGCCAGCGGCCGCGGUAAUACGUAGGUCCCGAGCGUUGUCCGGAUUUAUUGGGCGUAAAGCGAGCGCAGGCGGUUUAAUAAGUCUGAAGUUAAAGGCAGUGGCUUAACCAUUGUUCGCUUUGGAAACUGUUAAACUUGAGUGCAGAAGGGGAGAGUGGAAUUCCAUGUGUAGCGGUGAAAUGCGUAGAUAUAUGGAGGAACACCGGUGGCGAAAGCGGCUCUCUGGUCUGUAACUGACGCUGAGGCUCGAAAGCGUGGGGAGCAAACAGG
This 429-nucleotide ribosomal RNA is filed under the name bacterium. Its description in RNAcentral is "partial 16S ribosomal RNA". It matches the Rfam family "Bacterial small subunit ribosomal RNA", at positions 355 to 776 of the family's 1533-position model. The record is from RNAcentral.